UACCAGUAAUGUGGCCCUCUAUUCAGUUGCUGUCUCUUGGUAAUUCGACGUUCCUCCUCGGCCCCUUGUUCUUGGUAAAAUGUGAUACCGGCUCAAGCCAGUUUUCCCCACGGCGGUGCUCUGCCAGAUCACGCCACCACUGAGAAGCAGCCUUAUGUCAUCCCGUAAACGCCGGCACCGGCACACCUGCUAAUUAUCAUCUCCAGCUGGUCGAACAUCUUCAGUGACCAGCAGGUUUGGCCCUUAACCCCAGAAGACGCUCCAGGGUGCCAGAUGAACGGACUGACCCUGUGCUCGGACCCCAGAGCGAGAUGGGAUAUGCUCACACUAAAGCCUUCCGAAGUACCUGACACCCGUAGUUGUACAAAUUAAAA
Paramormyrops kingsleyae is the source of this 374-nucleotide long non-coding RNA. RefSeq lists it as uncharacterized. NCBI's taxonomy places the organism in Eukaryota, Metazoa, Chordata, Actinopteri, Osteoglossiformes, Mormyridae. The record is from RefSeq and is a predicted model, not a curated record.